UGGUUUGAUUCUUGCUUAUUAUUAUUUGCUUUUGGAUUAUUUUAUAUGUAAAUUUUUGUAUGAUUUAAUUGUUUUAUUCUUAAUGAAUAUUUAAUUUAUUUUUUUUUCGCAGUGGGGAGUUUUAAAUAAAUUAACGGGAGUUUGAUUUGGUAAUUUUAAUUUAUUAUUGGUAAAAUUUGUGCCAGCAUCCGCGGUUAUACAAUGGAUAUUAGUAAAUAUUUUUGGUUAAAGUAGUUAUUUUUUUUUGUUUUGAGUUUAUAAUUUAUAUUUUUAGGUGAAAUUUUAAUAUUUUUGAGGCUUAUUAUUUUGAUUUUGAGGCUAUUAAAUUUUUAGUAUAAACUAGGAUUAGAUACCCUAUUAUUUUUAAUGUAAAUUAUUUAUAACCAGAGUAGUAUUAGAUAAAGUCUUGAAACUUAAAGAAUUUGGCGGUAUUUUAGUCUCUUUAGAGGAAUCUGUCUCUUAAUCGAUAAUCCGCGUUGUACCUUACCAAAAAUUUUAUUAUUUAGUAGCAUGUAUACCGCCGUUAUAAUGAAAAUCUUUUUAGGGUUUAAUAAUUUUCUUUAUUUGAUUUUAUAGGUUAUUUCAGGUCAAGGUGCAGUUUAUGAUUUGGUGAUGAUGGAUUACAUUUAUAUUUGUUAUUCGAAUUAUUUAUUGAAAUAUAAAUAUGAAGUUGGAUUUAAUUGUAAUUUUUUAAAGAUUAUAAUAGUGAUACUAGCUCUAUAAUAUGUACAUAUCGCCCGUCACUCUCAUUAAUAAUUUAAUUGAGAUAAGUCGUAACAUAGUGGUUGUACCGGAAGGUGUAACUGGAAUGUAUAUUAUUGUAUAUAU
This 828-nucleotide ribosomal RNA is filed under the name Archiblatta hoeveni. Its description in RNAcentral is "12S ribosomal RNA". The record is from RNAcentral. Lineage: Eukaryota; Metazoa; Arthropoda; Insecta; Blattodea; Blattidae.